ACGUAGGCAGCAAGCGUUGUUCGGAGUUACUGGGCGUAAAGCGUGCGUAGGCGGUUCUCUAAGUUUGGUGUGAAAUCUCCCGGCUUAACCGGGAGGGGGCGUCGAAGACUGGGGAACUAGAGGAUGGGAGAGGUAAGCGGAAUUCCUGGUGUAGCGGUGAAAUGCGCAGAUAUCAGGAGGAACACCGGUGGCGUAGGCGGCUUACUGGACCAUCCCUGACGCUGAGGCACGAAAGCGUGGGUAGCAAACGG
This 251-nucleotide ribosomal RNA is filed under the name uncultured prokaryote. Its description in RNAcentral is "partial 16S rRNA". It matches the Rfam family "Bacterial small subunit ribosomal RNA", at positions 525 to 775 of the family's 1533-position model. The record is from RNAcentral.